This 73-nucleotide transfer RNA is filed under the name Staphylococcus argenteus. RNAcentral describes it as "tRNA-Glu". It matches the Rfam family "tRNA". Rfam says of the family: Transfer RNA (tRNA) molecules are approximately 80 nucleotides in length. Lineage: Bacteria; Bacillati; Bacillota; Bacilli; Caryophanales; Staphylococcaceae. The record is from RNAcentral.
GCUCCUUGGUCAAGCGGUUAAGACACCGCCCUUUCACGGCGGUAACACGGGUUCGAGUCCCGUAGGGAGUCCC